GUUCCUGUUCCUGUCGGCUCCAUGGAGGACGCCGUUCCUGUUCCUGUCCGCCUCGGAGAGGCCGUCCCUGCCGCAGUCCCUGCCGCAGGUCCCGCCGACCUCCAGGAGGAGCUCGCACCUGCCGCAGUUCCCGUCGACCUCCAAGAGGGAGGUCGCGCCUGCCGCAGUUCCCGUCGACCUCCAGGAGGAGGUCGUGCCUGCCGCAGUUCCCGUCGACCUCCAGGAGGAGGUCGCGCCUGCCGCAGUUUCCGUCGACCUCCAGGAGGAGGUCGCGCCUGCCGCAGUUCCUGCUGUGGUUCCCGAAGACCUCCAGGAGGAGGUUGCGCCUGCUUCGAUUCCCGCCGACCUCCAGGAGGAGGUUCCGGGCUUCGGGGAUGCUAGCCAAAGGACUGCCCCUGGAGCUCCUGGUGGUCCGGCUCCGACCACGUCUGCCCUGGUCCCUGGUGGUCUGGUCCAGACCACGUUCAUCUCAGCUCCUGGUGGCCAGGCGGUGGUCCGGCCCCGGCCACGACUGCAUCGGUUCCCGGUGGUCCGGCACCGGCCACGCCUGCAUCGGUUCCUGGUGGCCCGGUCCCGGCCACGCUUGUCUCAGCUCCUGGUGGUACGCCGUUCCUGUUCCUGUCGGCUCCACGGAGGACGCCAUUCCUGUUCCUGUCGGCUCCAUGGAGGACGCCGUUCCUGUUCCUGUCCGCCUCGGAGGCCAAGCUCGUCUCAGCUCCUGGUGGUCCGUCCGCGCUCGUCUCAGCUCUUGGUGUUCCGGCCGCGUUCGGCUCAGCUCUUGGUGUUCCGGCCACGUUCAGCUCAGCUCCUGAUGGUCCAGCGUCGGCUGCGCCCGUUCUUUCCCCUCGUCUGGUUCCGUCUCCACAUCUGUCUCCGUCUCUGCUCCCGGCUUCGUCUCUGGUCCCGUCUCCGUCUCCACGUCUGUCUCCGUCUCUGGUCCCGGCUUCGUCUCUGGUCCCGGCUCUGUCUCCACAUCUGUCUUCGUCUCCGGUCUUGGCUCCGGCUUCUCGGCCGUCAUCGUCUCUCAUCGCCG
Molecule: long non-coding RNA, 1033 nt
Filed under: Betta splendens (Siamese fighting fish)
Lineage: Eukaryota; Metazoa; Chordata; Actinopteri; Anabantiformes; Osphronemidae
Description: lncRNA (ENSBSLG00000007008.1)
Source: RNAcentral